AAAGGUUUUCCCCUGACAUUAAGUCGAGUCAUGUCUGACUCUGAGGGUUGGUGCUCAUCUCCAUUUCUAAGUUGAAGAGCCGGCGUUGUUCGUAGAUACCUUCAAGGUCCUGUGCCUGGCAUGACUGCAUGGAGUGCUGUUACCUUCCCACCGGAGUGCAGAGAAAACAACACAAGGCAUUUUCCUGAAUUCAUUAUGAAGUCUACUGUACCUGUCAACAUGUCAUCAAAGCUGGACCGAGCUUCAGGAUGACGCAACAAUGACUUUGGAGUGAAGACAAUGAGCUGAAAAAGGAAUGGAUUCCAGAUUCAGUGUCAAGACUGAGACUGAAACACUUUCUGAGUAAGCACUGAAUUAUCAUACUAACAUUUAGGAGUUGUUUAAUGAAAGCAUAAAUAACCUGAAGUCCAUAAUACACAGAUUUUGUAUUUUAAGUAGUCUGAAAUGAACCUAGGAACAACUUGGAAAACACUAUGUUUGCAGAAAUACAGACUACCGACCAGGUUUUGACAGCUGAAGAAAAGUCGAAGAUAAAUAUAAUUAACUAUAUCUGUAACAGCUCUUAAUAAAUUAAUGUGCAAAGGUCACUGUAAAAGUUAUGAAAGACAGAAAUACAAUGCAGAAAACAUAAAACAUUUCUGUGCACAGGCAUUUGAAAUUAGAAACAGAGAACCAAAUGAGAGGCUGUAAAAAUACAUAAUAGAGGCAACCACAAAAUAUGCAAAAUAAACUUUCAAUUUCUUUCAGGACUUUGCUUUUAGAGGCACAGUUUUAGUUCUCGCAUGCAACAGAACUUUGUCUUUGAUUGAUGCAGUGAUAAAACUAUGGAAUAAAACAACCUUACAC
Anolis sagrei ordinatus is the source of this 846-nucleotide long non-coding RNA. RefSeq lists it as uncharacterized. NCBI's taxonomy places the organism in Eukaryota, Metazoa, Chordata, Lepidosauria, Squamata, Anolidae. The record is from RefSeq and is a predicted model, not a curated record.